UACGUAGGGGGCAAGCGUUGUCCGGAUUUAUUGGGCGUAAAGAGCGUGUAGGCGGCUUUACAGGUCCGUUGUGAAAACUCGAGGCUCAACCUCGAGACGCCGGUGGAAACCGUAAAGCUAGAGUCCGGAAGAGGAGAGUGGAAUUCCUGGUGUAGCGGUGAAAUGCGCAGAUAUCAGGAGGAACACCCGUGGCGAAAGCGGCUCUCUGGGACGGUACUGACGCUGAGACGCGAAAGCGUAGGGAGCAAACAGG
RNAcentral lists this ribosomal RNA (253 nucleotides) under uncultured bacterium. RNAcentral's name for it is "partial 16S ribosomal RNA". It matches the Rfam family "Bacterial small subunit ribosomal RNA", at positions 524 to 776 of the family's 1533-position model. The record is from RNAcentral.